Molecule: ribosomal RNA, 615 nt
Filed under: uncultured organism
Description: SSU rRNA
Rfam family: Bacterial small subunit ribosomal RNA
Source: RNAcentral
ACUGCCUGAUGGAGGGGGAUAACUACUGCCAACGGUAGCUAAUACCGCAUAACGUCGCAAGACCAAAGAGGGGGACCUUCGGGCCUCUUGCCAUCGGAUGUGCCCAGAUGGGAUUAGCUAGUAGGUGGGGUAAAGGCUCACCUAGGCGACGAUCCCUAGCUGGUCUGAGAGGAUGACCAGCCACACUGGAACUGAGACACGGUCCAGACUCCUACGGGAGGCAGCAGUGGGGAAUAUUGCACAAUGGGCGCAAGCCUGAUGCAGCCAUGCCGCGUGUAUGAAGAAGGCCUUCGGGUUGUAAAGUACUUUCAGCGGGGAGGAAGGGAGUAAAGUUAAUACCUUUGCUCAUUGACGUUACCCGCAGAAGAAGCACCGGCUAACUCCGUGCCAGCAGCCGCGGUAAUACGGAGGGUGCAAGCGUUAAUCGGAAUUACUGGGCGUAAAGCGCACGCAGGCGGUUUGUUAAGUCAGAUGUGAAAUCUCCGGGCUCAACCUGGGAACUGCAUCUGAUACUGGCAAGCUUGAGUCUCGUAGAGGGGGGUAGAAUUCCAGGUGUAGCGGUGAAAUGCGUAGAGAUCUGGAGGAAUACCGGUGGCGAAGGCGGCCCCCUGGACG